GGUCGCGUAGCUCAGCUGGAUAGAGCACCUGCCUUCUAAGCAGGCGGUCUCAGGUUCGAAUCCUGACGCGAUCAC
RNAcentral lists this transfer RNA (75 nucleotides) under compost metagenome. RNAcentral's name for it is "tRNA-Arg". It matches the Rfam family "tRNA". From Rfam's summary of the family: Transfer RNA (tRNA) molecules are approximately 80 nucleotides in length. The record is from RNAcentral.